RNAcentral lists this ribosomal RNA (494 nucleotides) under uncultured bacterium. Its description in RNAcentral is "partial 16S ribosomal RNA". It matches the Rfam family "Bacterial small subunit ribosomal RNA", at positions 28 to 507 of the family's 1533-position model. The record is from RNAcentral.
GACGAACGCUGGCGGCGCGCUUAACACAUGCAAGUCGAACGGAAAGGCCUGCUUUCCCUUGUGGAUUGCGGGUACUCGAGUGGCUAACGGGUGAGUAACACGUUGGUGAUCUGCCCCCAACUUGGGUAUAAGCCUGGGAAACUGGGUCUAAUUCCCGAUAGGACUGCAGGGUGGUGCCUGUCGUGGACUACGAUUUUCUAGUGGUUGGGGAUGGGCUCGCGGCCUAUCAGCUUGUUGGCGGGGUAAAGGCCUGCCAAGGCGGCGACGGGUAGCCGGCCUGAGAGGGUUGACAGACACAGUGGGACUGGGACACGACCCAGACGCCUACGGGAGGCAGCAGUGGGGAAUAUAGGAGAAUGAGCGGAAGCCUGCAGCAGCGACGCUGCGUGGGAGAUGACGGCAUUCGAGAUGUAAACUCCUUUCGACCGCGAGGAAGCCACCUGGUUGGAAGGGUGGUGACGGUAGUGGUAGAAGAAGCACCGGCUAACUACGUG